GACGAACGCUGGCGGCGUGCUUAACACAUGCAAGUCGAACGGAAAGGCCCUGCUUUUGUGGGGUGCUCGAGUGGCGAACGGGUGAGUAACACGUGAGUAACCUGCCCUUGACUUUGGGAUAACUUCAGGAAACUGGGGCUAAUACCGGAUAGGAGCUCCUGCUGCAUGGUGGGGGUUGGAAAGUUUCGGCGGUUGGGGAUGGACUCGCGGCUUAUCAGCUUGUUGGUGGGGUAGUGGCUUACCAAGGCUUUGACGGGUAGCCGGCCUGAGAGGGUGACCGGCCACAUUGGGACUGAGAUACGGCCCAGACUCCUACGGGAGGCAGCAGUGGGGAAUAUUGCACAAUGGGCGGAAGCCUGAUGCAGCAACGCCGCGUGCGGGAUGACGGCCUUCGGGUUGUAAACCGCUUUCGCCUGUGACGAAGCGUGAGUGACGGUAAUGGGUAAAGAAGCACCGGCUAACUACGUGCCAGCAGCCGCGGUGAUACGUAGGGUACGAGCGUUGUCCGGAUUUAUUGGGCGUAAAGGGCUCGUAGGUGGUUGAUCGCGUCGGAAGUGUAAUCUUGGGGCUUAACCCUGAGCGUGCUUUCGAUACGGGUUGACUUGAGGAAGGUAGGGGAGAAUGGAAUUCCUGGUGGAGCGGUGGAAUGCGCAGAUAUCAGGAGGAACACCAGUGGCGAAGGCGGUUCUCUGGGCCUUUCCUGACGCUGAGGAGCGAAAGCGUGGGGAGCGAACAGGCUUAGAUACCCUGGUAGUCCACGCUGUAAACGGUGGGUACUAGGUGUGGGGUCCAUUCCACGGGUUCCGUGCCGUAGCUAACGCUUUAAGUACCCCGCCUGGGGAGUACGGCCGCAAGGCUAAAACUCAAAGGAAUUGACGGGGCCCCGCACAAGCGGCGGAGCAUGCGGAUUAAUUCGAUGCAACGCGUAGAACCUUACCUGGGUUUGACAUGGAUCGGGAGUGCUCAGAGAUGGGUGUGCCUCUUUUGGGGUCGGUUCACAGGUGGUGCAUGGCUGUCGUCAGCUCGUGUCGUGAGAUGUUGGGUUAAGUCCCGCAACGAGCGCAACCCUUGUUCACUGUUGCCAGCACGUUAUGGUGGGGACUCAGUGGAGACCGCCGGGGUCAACUCGGAGGAAGGUGGGGAUGACGUCAAGUCAUCAUGCCCCUUAUGUCCAGGGCUUCACGCAUGCUACAAUGGCUGGUACAGAGAGUGGCGAGCCUGUGAGGGUGAGCGAAUCUCGGAAAGCCGGUCUCAGUUCGGAUUGGGGUCUGCAACUCGACCUCAUGAAGUCGGAGUCGCUAGUAAUCGCAGAUCAGCAACGCUGCGGUGAAUACGUUCCCGGGGCU
This 1346-nucleotide ribosomal RNA is filed under the name uncultured bacterium. RNAcentral's name for it is "bacterial SSU rRNA". It matches the Rfam family "Bacterial small subunit ribosomal RNA", at positions 28 to 1381 of the family's 1533-position model. The record is from RNAcentral.